GUCGGUUAAAUACCGACCUGCAUGAAUGGCGUAACGAGAUGGGAGCUGUCUCAAAGAGGGAUCCAGUGAAAUUGUAGUGGAGGUGAAAAUUCCUCCUACCCGCGGCAAGACGGAAAGACCCCGUGGACCUUUACUACAGCUUGACACUGCUAUUUGGAUAAGAAUGUGCAGGAUAGGUGGGAGGCUUUGAGUAUAUGACGCCAGUUGUAUAUGAGCCAUUGUUGAGAUACCACUCUUUCUUAUUUGGGUAGCUAACCAGCUUGAGUUAUCCUCAAGUGGGACAAUGUCUGGUGGGUAGUUUGACUGGGGCGGUCGCCUCCCAAAUAAUAACGGAGGCUUACAAAGGUUGGCUCAGAACGGUUGGAAAUCGUUCGUAGAGUAUAAAGGUAUAAGCCAGCUUAACUGCAAGACAUACAAGUCAAGCAGAGACGAAAGUCGGUCUUAGUGAUCCGGUGGUUCUGUGUGGAAGGGCCAUCGCUCAAAGGAUAAAAGGUACCCCGGGGAUAACAGGCUGAUCUCCCCCAAGAGCUCACAUCGACGGGGAGGUUUGGCACCUCGAUGUCGGCUCAUCGCAUCCUGGGGCUGGAGCAGGUCCCA
This 597-nucleotide ribosomal RNA is filed under the name Campylobacter coli. Its description in RNAcentral is "bacterial LSU rRNA". It matches the Rfam family "Bacterial large subunit ribosomal RNA", at positions 1971 to 2567 of the family's 2925-position model. Lineage: Bacteria; Pseudomonadati; Campylobacterota; Epsilonproteobacteria; Campylobacterales; Campylobacteraceae. The record is from RNAcentral.